This 468-nucleotide ribosomal RNA is filed under the name uncultured bacterium. RNAcentral's name for it is "partial 16S ribosomal RNA". It matches the Rfam family "Bacterial small subunit ribosomal RNA", at positions 28 to 507 of the family's 1533-position model. The record is from RNAcentral.
GACGAACGCUGGCGGCGUGCUUAACACAUGCAAGUCGAACGGAAAGGCCCUGCUUUUGUGGGGUGCUCGAGUGGCGAACGGGUGAGUAACACGUGAGUAACCUGCCCUUGACUUUGGGAUAACUUCAGGAAACUGGGGCUAAUACCGGAUAGGAGCUCCUGCUGCAUGGUGGGGGUUGGAAAGUUUCGGCGGUUGGGGAUGGACUCGCGGCUUAUCAGCUUGUUGGUGGGGUAGUGGCUUACCAAGGGUUUGACGGGUAGCCGGCCUGAGAGGGUUACCGGGCACAAUGGGACUGAGAUACGGACCAGAAUCCUACGGGAGGCAACAGGGGGGAAUAUUGCACAAUGGGCGGAAGCCUGAUGCAGCAACGCCGCGUGCGGGAUGACGGCCUUCGGGUUGUAAACCGCUUUCGCCUGUGACGAAGCGUGAGUGACGGUAAUGGGUAAAGAAGCACCGGCUAACUACGUG